GUGCCAGCCGCCGCGGUAAUACGUAGGGAGCAAGCGUUGUCCGGAAUCAUUGGGCGUAAAGCGCGCGUAGGCGGCCCUGUAAGUCCGCUGUGAAAGUCAAAGGCUCAACCUUUGAAAGCCGGUGGAUACUGCAGGGCUAGAGUCCGGAAGAGGCGAGUGGAACUCCUGGUGUAGCGGUGGAAUGCGCAGAUAUCAGGAAGAACACCAACGGCGAAGGCAGCUCGCUGGGACGGUACUGACGCUGAGGCGCGAAAGCGUGGGGAGCGAACAGGAUUAGAUACCCCCGUAGUCC
RNAcentral lists this ribosomal RNA (292 nucleotides) under uncultured bacterium. RNAcentral describes it as "partial 16S ribosomal RNA". It matches the Rfam family "Bacterial small subunit ribosomal RNA", at positions 505 to 796 of the family's 1533-position model. The record is from RNAcentral.